This is a long non-coding RNA of Melopsittacus undulatus (budgerigar), 5120 nucleotides long. The record is from Ensembl. Lineage: Eukaryota; Metazoa; Chordata; Aves; Psittaciformes; Psittaculidae.
CCUGCUCCGGGGAAAGAAACGAAGAGGGUCAGGCGAGCUGGGCUUUCCCCGACCGCUACCAGCGGCGCGGCUCGGGAGCUCGCGGCUCCGCGCCGAGCAGGGACCCCGCCUCCAGGGCCCGUGCAGCGGAGAGCACCGGGCCCCGCAGCACCCCCCUGCCAGGCAGGCUCACGCGGCCGCGGGGGGCGGGCUUCCGGGCCAACCCCUACCGGGUCAGGUCCCGCUCCCUGCGGCCCGGCCAGGCCCGCCCUCAGCGGCUGGACCGGCGCACCAGGGGGCGCUGCCCCGUGACGGCGGCGACCAAGGCGGGGCGGUGCCUUCGCCUCCAAGAGCGGAGGAAGAUGGCGGCGCUGGACUGCCGGUGGCGAUGGUGCCGUUCUACGGCGGGGCUCCGCGGGCCUGUCGCUACCGAGGGCAGCUCCCGCCGCGCUCAGACAGCGGCGCGGCCUCCCCCCGCGGGUGGGUCACCUGCUGCCGGAGCCCAUGAAGCUGUGUCUGCUCUCCCGGGACGGGUGUCCGGUGCGCGAUGAGGCGCCGGCGCUGCCGGAGGGUGUCCCCGCAGGCGAAGGGUCUCCCUCGGGGUCCCUGCGGAAGGCUUCAGCUCUGCGUGCUGGGAAGGCUCAUCCGUGCCAGACCAACAGCAAAUGCCCACCUCGGGGGCAGUGUAGACCCUUCAUGGCAGGAGCUCGACGAACAAGACACGGCAGCAGCCAGCGCUUUCUCAGGAGAAAGCAUCCAGAGGACACCAAGCAGAGCUCUGGAGCUUUGUAGGUGCACUGUGAUUCCGAGAAAACUCCAUGAACAAACUCGCCAACACAGUUUCAAGCUGACAAGCAGGCUCCGGGUCAAAAGGACCAUCCACGUCAGCAUCGGCAUUAUCAGGCGUCAGAACCUCAGGAUCAGCAACAGCAGCCUGAUGAACAUGCACAGGCUCCUUGUCAGGAUCAACAGGGCCUGAGUCAAAAGGAUCAUCUUCACCUCUGCCCAGAGUCUUCGCAGCCGUGGCAGCAAGCGGCGGAGGAUCAGAGGGAGGGCGGGAGGGGACACGGCGGAUGACACUGGACUCCAUGGUCUGGCUUUUGACUUUAACAAAGAAUAACAGAAUCAUAGAAUAGUUAGGGUUGGAAAGGACAUUAAGAUGCCCAGUUCCAACCCCCCAGCCGUCGGCAUGGGCAGGGACACCUCCCACUAAACCAUAUCACCCAAGGCUUCAUCCAACCUGGCCUUGAACACUGCCAGGGAUGGAGCAUUCACAACCUCCCUGGGUAACCCAUUCCAGUACCUCACCACCCUCACAGUAAACAAUUUCUUCCUUAUAUCCAAUCUAAACUUCUGCUGUUUAAGUUUCAACCCAUUACCCCUUGUCCUGUCACUGCAGUCCCUAAUGAAUUGUCCCUCACCAGAAUCCCUGUACGUCCCCUUCAGAUACUGGAAGGCUGCUACGAGGUCUCCACGCAGCCUUCUCUUUUCUAGGCUGAACAGCCCCAACUCAGCCUGUCUUCAUACAAGAGGUGCUCCAGUCACCUAAUCAUCCUGGUGGCCCUCCUCUGGACUUGUUCUAACAGUUCCAUGUCCUUUUUAUGUUGAGGACACCAGAACUGCACACAAUACUCCAAGUGAGGUCUCACGAGAGCAGAGCAGAGGGGCAGGGUCACCUCCUUCCAGCUGCUGGUCACACUUGUUUUGAUGCAGCUCAGGAUACGGUUGGCUUUCUGGGCUGUAAGUGCACACUGAAGCUGGCUCAUGUUCAUUUUCUCAUUGACCAACACCCCCAUGUCCUCCUUCCUCAGGGCUGCACUGAAUUUCCUUUUUGCUCAACCUGUAGCUGUGCCUGGGAUUGCUCAAACCCAAGGGUAGGACCUUGCACUUGGCAUGGUUAAACUUCAUGAGGUUGGCAUCAGCCCACCUCACAAGCGUAUCAAGGUGCCUCUGGAUGGCAUUCCUUCCCUCCAGCAUAUCAACCAAACCACACAGCUUGGUGUUAUCAGCAAACUUGCUGAGGGGGGCACUCAAUCCCGUUCUCCACGUCACCGACAAAGAUGUUGAACAGAACUGGUCCCAACACUGAUCCCUGAGGGACACCACUUGUUACUGGUCUCCAGCCAGACAUUGAACCAUAAAGCACAACUCUCUGUGUGCUGCCAUCCAGCCAGUUCUUUAUCCACCGAGUGCUCCACCUAUCAAAUUGAUGUCUCUCCAAUUUAGAGACAAGGAUGUCAUGUGGGACAGUGUCAAACGCACAUUGGUCAGGCAGGAUUUCCCCUUAGUGAAGCCACGCUGUCUGUCACCAAGCACCUUGUUGUUCUUCAUGCACCCUGGCAUGCCUUUCAGGAGAAUCUGCUCCCAGAUAUUGCCAGGCACAGAGGUGAGACUGACUGGGCUGUAAUUCCCUGGGUCAUCCAUUUUCCCCUUCUUGAAAAUGGGGGUUGUAUUUCCCUUUCUCCAGUCAUUGGGAACUUCAGAAGGAAGUUGUCUUCCACACAAUCGAGAAACCUCCUGGAUUGCUUGUGCCAGGCCGUACCGUGGCUCCAACAGAUGUCAGGGUGGUGGAAGUCCCCCAUGAGAACAAGGGCCUGCAAGUGUGUGGCUGUUCCUAUCUGUCUGUAGAGUUCUUCAUCCACAGCUUCCUCUUGAUCAGGUGGUCUCUAACAUAUCCCCACAGUAAUGUCUCCCAUCACUGAUUUCCCCUUAACCCUGACUCACAAACUUUCUGUUAACUGAUCACCUGUCCCCAGAGAGUGUUCCACACUCUCCAGCCUAUCCCUAAUAUGAACGGCGACUUCCCCUCCCCUCCUACCAGGCCUAUAUUUUCUAAAAAGCCUGUAACCUUCCAUUCCAACACUCCAGUCAAAGGAGCCAUCCCACCAUGUUUCUGUGAUGCCUAUUAUAUCAUACCCCCAGAGAUGUGCCCACAUCUCUAAUUCCUCUUUUUUGUUCCCCAUGCUAAGGGCAUCUGUAUAGAGGCAUCUGAGCUGAGCUCCAAAUGAAGCUGGCUCAUUGGCUGGAGUGGCUAGAAUAUCACCACAUUGCUCCGAGCAUUUAUUAUAGGUGCUGGCAACUGACUGGGUGUGUUGGGAUGGAAUGAUGCUCCCCUCCCCCAACACAACUAGUUUAAAGCAUCCUUGACAAGUCUGGCAAGCCUCCCAGCAAAGCCACUCUUCCCUUUCUUUAUCAGAGCAGCCCCCAGUAGGCCUGGCCUACAGAUUUGGGCCCCAUGUUCUAGUCACCCAAACCCUUGACUAUGACACCACCCUGUUAACUAUUUACUCACCUGUCUAAUCCUCCUAACCUUUGGGAUAUCCUCUGCUGUGUCUUGGAGAAUUGUCGAAAAGACUAUCUGAGCUUCAGAGCCCCUAACCACCUCUCCCAGGGCUCUGUAGUCCUUCUUCAUACUCCUCAGGCUACUCCUAUCAAUAUCCCUAGCACCCACAUCUAUCACUAGAAGUGGGUAAUAGUCCGUUGGACUUGCUAGCAGGCAGCCUCUCAGGAAAUCCCUGAUCCAUGCUCCAGGUAGGCAACACACCUCCCUUGCGACCGGAUCAGGCUGACAGAUGAGCGCUUCUGUCCCUUUCAAGGCAGAGUCCCCUACUACUACAACCCGCUGCUUUUUUUGGCAGCACUAGUAGAGACCUUCUGUACCAGUGCACCAGUUGGUUUUUUCUGAUGCAAGUACAUUUUCUCAUCAGCCCCCUGCAGGACAGCACAUCCGUUCUGGGUGGGUACAGUAGAUUUAGGAGGAAGCCUCUUGCUUUUAAUUGCUCUCUUCCUCCUUUUGUUGUGGGUUUUUUUUUGUUACUAAUUCCCAGCUUCCUGGGUUAACAGCCUCCUUUUUUCCUCCAUGAAUUAGAGGGGAAGGUGGAGGCCACUGCACUGUCUGGGCCUGGAGCAGGCAGUCCUGCUUCCUCUCAGGUCCCCUGACAUCUUGCAGCUUACUGACAGCAUCCUACAGCUCAGCCACCUGCUGCAGGAGAACCGCCAUCAAGGAGCAGCGAGUGCAGCACUGCCCAUUCAGGACCUCUCCCUCCCCAGACCAGACCAGUGCAGGCACUCUCUACACUCCAAGCUCUGCACCGCAACCUCCCCUCUCACCGGCUCUGUCUGGGUGCCUAUGCUGGCCGUCGUCGGGGCAGCCAGGGCAGAGCUCCCAGACUGGGCCCUGGUCAUACGGAGAGUGCUCACCAUCCCGCGCGAACUGCCGCCCAAACCGCCUCAACGCGCUCCUGGUCACUGUGCUCCCUGGCAGGUUUUUAACCACUCGCAGUGUGUGCUGCUCCUCCUGGCUCCGCCCCCAGUGAGUCACCUCCUCGUGGGAGCUGAGCUGCUGGCUCCUGGGCAAGUCCUGUCGAAGACUUUAGGCUCCCUCCUCGAUGGCUCUUGUCGCUCUGAGGUGAGGCUCCUGGGCACUGAUCUCCCGCUGCUAUGCUCUGGUGAUGCAGGCGGCCUCUCUCAAGCUACUCACCUCAGCAACACGAAAGGGACAUUCCCAUCGUAGAGUUAAAAGAUUGCUCUUGCCAGGUCUUAAUUCCCACUACCCAGGGUUAAUGUUAUGAAUUUUAAAGUCUAACGGCAUCAUCUGGGGAAUCCAUCUUUUUCAUCUUAAAUGUUCCAGAGUCUGAGCUAUUGUGGUAAUAAAUCUGAUACUCACCUCUCCUCCUUCAUAACUAGUGGUCUUUUGGGUUGUCAUAAAAGGUAAUCCAGACAUCAUAUCAUAAGGACAUAUCCCUAAAUCCGAUCUGGGUUGCGUUCAAACCCGUAACAAUGCUCAAGGCAAACACUUUACCCAGGACAUUUAGGUCUCAAUUAUUAGUUUAGUUAAUGCUUGUUUCAAGGUUUGAUUCAUUCUUUCCACUCUUCCCGAGCUUUGAGGAUGCCAUGGGGUGUGCAAUUCCCAUUUUAUCCUUAAGGCUUGGGUUACUUGUUGUACAAUUUUUAAUGUAAAAUGUGUUUCCCUGUCAGAGUCAGUUCUGCUAACCAUCCCAUAUCUAGGGAUAAUUAGUUCCAAAACAGCUUUUGAGACUGCAUUUGCUGUAGCCCUGACAACCAGAACUGCUUCCACCCAAUGAGUUAAGUGAUCUACUGUUACUAAUAGGAACUUCCACCUCUGCACAGGAGGGAGUUCA